AUACGUAGGUGGCAAGCGUUGUCCGGAUUUAUUGGGCGUAAAGCGAGCGCAGGCGGUUUUUUAAGUCUGAUGUGAAAGCCUCCGGCUUAACCGGAGAAGUGCAUCGGAAACUGGGAGACCUGAGUGCAGAAGAGGACAGUGGAACUCCAUGUGUAGCGGUGGAAUGCGUAGAUAUAUGGAAGAACACCAGUGGCGAAGGCGGCUGUCUAGUCUGUAACUGACGCUGAGGCUCGAAAGCAUGGGUAGC
Molecule: ribosomal RNA, 247 nt
Filed under: uncultured bacterium
Lineage: Bacteria
Description: partial 16S ribosomal RNA
Rfam family: Bacterial small subunit ribosomal RNA
Source: RNAcentral